RNAcentral lists this ribosomal RNA (224 nucleotides) under uncultured Burkholderiales bacterium. Its description in RNAcentral is "partial 16S ribosomal RNA". It matches the Rfam family "Bacterial small subunit ribosomal RNA", at positions 109 to 334 of the family's 1533-position model. Lineage: Bacteria; Pseudomonadati; Pseudomonadota; Betaproteobacteria; Burkholderiales. The record is from RNAcentral.
AGUAAUAUAUCGGAACGUGCCCAGUAGUGGGGGAUAGCACGGCGAAAGCCGGAUUAAUACCGCAUGAGACCUGAGGGUGAAAGCGGGGGACUCGCAAGAGCCUCGCGCUAUUGGAGCGGCCGAUAUCAGAUUAGCUAGUUGGUGGGGUAAAGGCCUACCAAGGCGACGAUCUGUAGCUGGUCUGAGAGGACGACCAGCCACACUGGGACUGAGACACGGCCCAG